UACGUAGGCAGCAAGCGUUGUUCGGAGUUACUGGGCGUAAAGAGCGCGUAGGCGGCUAGAUAAGUCCGGUGUGAAAGUCACAGGCUCAACCUGUGAAUGCCGCUGGAAACUGUCUGGCUAGAGUCCGGAAGGGGCGAGUGGAAUUCCUGGUGUAGCGGUGAAAUGCGCAGAUAUCAGGAGGAACACCAAUGGCGAAGGCAGCUCGCUGGGACGGUACUGACGCUGAGGCGCGAAAGCGUGGGGAGCAAACAGG
RNAcentral lists this ribosomal RNA (253 nucleotides) under uncultured bacterium. RNAcentral's name for it is "partial 16S ribosomal RNA". It matches the Rfam family "Bacterial small subunit ribosomal RNA", at positions 524 to 776 of the family's 1533-position model. The record is from RNAcentral.